Marmota monax (woodchuck) is the source of this 2053-nucleotide long non-coding RNA. RefSeq lists it as uncharacterized. The transcript has 2 exons. Lineage: Eukaryota; Metazoa; Chordata; Mammalia; Rodentia; Sciuridae. The record is from RefSeq and is a predicted model, not a curated record.
AGGACCCCAAGGCCCCAGGCCCAACAUUAGGAAAACUAACCCCUGUGCCCUGAAGCUGCAAGAUGUUCCCUUACCCAACCCCCAUGUCAAAACCCCACCAGCUGCACGUAGCACUUCAAGUCUCGCACAAUGUUACCACAAGAUGUUCCAUAUAGAUAACCCCGGAAGGGCCAAACUUGAGCAAACAGGGUAAAAACAGGAACUAAAAGGACAGGAUGCAAUUUUAUGGUUUUUCUGAGAACUAAAGUGGGAAAACAAGUUUACCCCCCUAGGUGACUCAACUGCUGAAUUCAGAGGGACCAAUAGGAAGGCUGUUGCUGUGCUAAGCUAAGACCUAACCCACCUGUUCCCUAUAAAAGAUCUAUACCCCAAAGCCCGGUGUGCCAGUUCACCGAAGCUCCGGCUGAGGUUUUGCUGUGCACCCGCAGGCGCCUGUGUGAGAAUAAACGCCUCCUGCUUUUUGCAGCCAGUGUCUCGUGUGGUUCAUUCCGGGUUUGGGAUCUGUGGAUAUUUCAUUGUGGAGGUCCCACCGAGAUCCAAGAUCCCGGUUCCGGUUCCGAUCCCGGUCCCUAUCCGGAGGACACCCGACAUCACUGGGAGACUCAUUUGCAUGCUUUGCAAUUGGUCCAGAACGAGGUCUGGAAGCCUCUAGCCGCAGCAUACAAAGAGGAACUUAAAACCCCCUUGCUGCCACAUCCCUUCAAGGUCGGAGAUACCGUCUGGGUACGCAGGCACCAGAGCAGGAACCUCGAACCGCAGUGGAAAGGACCCUACACUAUCCUGCUGACCACUCCUACUUCACUCAAAGUGGACGGCAUCGCUGCUUAGAUCCAUGCUUCCCACGUGAAGACUGCACAUCCACAGGAGUCCGCAGACACCUCUCCGGAUCCAGAAUGGAAGUUGCAACGUACCCAAAAUCCGCUAAAAAUAAGACUCACUCGCUGUUGAUUUUUCUUGCUUUGUGCUGUGUCUUCCCCAUAUCAGUUAACCCCAACCAAUCUGUGAGCCAGACAUGACAAGUAUUAUCGGGGACAAGAAAUAUAAUUAAAAAAAAAAAAAAAAAAAAAACAACAUCCGCAAAAUACCCCCUUUGGGCUUGAUGGCCUACCCUAGGGCCUGAAAACUAAGUCGCAGGCACAAAAAUGUGGGCAACAUGAAAGUUACUAUUGUAAGUCUUGGGGAUAUAAAACUACGGGGGAUGCAUAGUAGAAGCCAAGCUCAUCUUAGGAUUUAAUUCAAAUAAAAAAAAAACAAAACAAAACAGGAUCCCCCACUUUCUGCCGACUCUUGCAGGAGCCUGAAAUGGUACGGGGCAGGGCCAUGUACCGCAUUUGCCUGCAACCCCUUAAACAUUACCUUUACUCAGGCAGGCAAAGCAUCAAAAGAUUGGAUAAAAGAAAAACAAUGGGGCCUGAAAAUAUAUCAUAAAACUGCCUAUGACCCUGGGGUCCUAUUCAAAAUUAGAUUAAUAGUAAAUACCAACCCCCAACCAGUAUGCUGAGCCGUCAGCUGAAAUAAUGCUGGAAUCCGAGCAGAUGGGUCAAUGGAUAUAAGAUUAUAUCCAUGAUAUAAAAAAAGGGGGGAAUGAAGGACCCCAAGGCCCCAGGCCCAACAUUAGGAAAACUAACCCCUGUGCCCUGAAGCUGCAAGAUGUUCCCUUACCCAACCCCCAUGUCAAAACCCCACCAGCUGCACGUAGCACUUCAAGUCUCGCACAAUGUUACCACAAGAUGUUCCAUAUAGAUAACCCCGGAAGGGCCAAACUUGAGCAAACAGGGUAAAAACAGGAACUAAAAGGACAGGAUGCAAUUUUAUGGUUUUUCUGAGAACUAAAGUGGGAAAACAAGUUUACCCCCCUAGGUGACUCAACUGCUGAAUUCAGAGGGACCAAUAGGAAGGCUGUUGCUGUGCUAAGCUAAGACCUAACCCACCUGUUCCCUAUAAAAGAUCUAUACCCCAAAGCCCGGUGUGCCAGUUCACCGAAGCUCCGGCUGAGGUUUUGCUGUGCACCCGCAGGCGCCUGUGUGAGAAUAAACGCCUCCUGCUUUUUGCA